CCUACGGGGGGCAGCAGUGGGGAAUAUUGCACAAUGGGGGAAACCCUGAUGCAGCGACGCCGCGUGAGUGAAGAAGUAUUUCGGUAUGUAAAGCUCUAUCAGCAGGGAAGAAAAUGACGGUACCUGACUAAGAAGCCCCGGCUAACUACGUGCCAGCAGCCGCGGUAAUACGUAGGGGGCAAGCGUUAUCCGGAUUUACUGGGUGUAAAGGGCGCGUAGGCGGCGCGGCAAGUCUGAAGUGAAAGGCAGGGGCUUAACCCCGGAACCGCUUUGGAAACUGGCAGGCUAGAGUGGUGGAGAGGUAAGUGGAAGUCCCAGUGUAGCGGUGAAAUGCGUAGAUAUUAGGAGGAACACCAGUGGCGAAGGCGGCUUACUGGACAGUAACUGACGCUGAGGCUCGAAAGCGUGGGGAGCAAACAGGAUUAGAUACCCGGGUAGUC
Molecule: ribosomal RNA, 440 nt
Filed under: uncultured bacterium
Lineage: Bacteria
Description: partial 16S ribosomal RNA
Rfam family: Bacterial small subunit ribosomal RNA
Source: RNAcentral